This is a non-coding RNA of Camellia sinensis, 486 nucleotides long. Lineage: Eukaryota; Viridiplantae; Streptophyta; Magnoliopsida; Ericales; Theaceae. The record is from RefSeq and is a predicted model, not a curated record.
AUGUCCGAAACCCUAGCCCUAAAUCAUUGAAUUCCUUUACUUUGCUCAUGAUCCACCAUGGUUUUUGGCAUCAAGGAUGGAGAACAAGGGAGGAUCGAUGUUUUUACCCGAUUAGAACUUGGAUUUGUGAAGGCUUCUUCUCAAGCUCACUUCUUUGCUUGAUUAUUGAGGUCAGCAACCAGGUGGUCAGUCCUAGCCAAGACGUCCGCUUUCUUUUGUCAACCUUCGUAUGUCCAGGCACUGUAUAAGCCAUUUAUUUUGUCAAGUUGUUAAGAUGUUGACUUGCUUAUGGGUGUCCCUCUAAGGUUGAUGUAUAUACUUUCAUGUUCAUUUUUUUUGUAUACGCCCAAUCAUGGGGCUGGCAUUGUAAAUGUGUAUGUAUAUGCUCCGGGUUAUAGUUGGAACUUUAUCUAUCCACUAUAAUGCAUGUGAUGAAUGAGAUCCUGGCAUGUAGAAGUAGCUCAAUGGAGUUUAUUUGUUUCAUUA